RNAcentral lists this ribosomal RNA (564 nucleotides) under uncultured bacterium. Its description in RNAcentral is "partial 16S ribosomal RNA". It matches the Rfam family "Bacterial small subunit ribosomal RNA", at positions 355 to 1375 of the family's 1533-position model. The record is from RNAcentral.
UGGGGAAUAUUGCACAAUGGGCGAAAGCCUGAUGCAGCAACGCCGCGUGAGUGAUGAAGGCCUUCGGGUUGUAAAGCUCUGUCUUUUGGGACGAUAAUGACGGCACCAAAGGAGGAAGCCACGGCUAACUACGUGCCAGCAGCCGCGGUAAUACGUAGGUGGCAAGCGUUGUCCGGAUUUACUGGGCGUAAAGGAUGCGUAGGCGGAUUUUUAAGUGAGAUGUGAAAACCCUAAGCUUAACUUGGGGACUGCAUUUCAUACUGGAAAUCUAGAGUGCGGGAGAGGAGAAUGGAAUUCCUAGUGUAGCGGUGAAAUGCGUAGAGAUUAGGAAGAACACCAGUGGCGAAGGCGAUUCUCUGGACCGUAACUGACGCUGAGGCAUGAAAGCGUGGGUAGCAAACAGGAUUAGAUACCCUGGUAGUCCACGCCGUAAACGAUGAGUACUAGGUGUAGGAGGUAUCGACCCCUUCUGUGCCGCAGUUAACACAAUAAGUACUCCGCCUGGGAAGUACGAUCGCAAGAUUAAAAACUCAAAGGAAUUGACGGGGUCAUAGCUGUUUUCCU